GCACUUCUGAGUCCCACAAUAGGACGAAACGGCCGUCCAGUGC
This 43-nucleotide non-coding RNA is filed under the name Schistosoma mattheei. Lineage: Eukaryota; Metazoa; Platyhelminthes; Trematoda; Strigeidida; Schistosomatidae. The record is from RNAcentral.